UACACAUGCAGUCGAACGAUGAAGCCCUUCGGGGUGGAUUAGUGGCGAACGGGUGAGUAACACGUGGGCAAUCUGCCCUUCACUCUGGGACAAGCCCUGGAAACGGGGUCUAAUACCGGAUAACACUUCCGUCCUCCUGGACGGUGGUUAAAAGCUCCGGCGGUGAAGGAUGAGCCCGCGGCCUAUCAGCUUGUUGGUGAGGUAAUGGCUCACCAAGGCGACGACGGGUAGCCGGCCUGAGAGGGCGACCGGCCACACUGGGACUGAGACACGGCCCAGACUCCUACGGGAGGCAGCAGUGGGGAAUAUUGCACAAUGGGCGAAAGCCUGAUGCAGCGACGCCGCGUGAGGGAUGACGGCCUUCGGGUUGUAAACCUCUUUCAGCAGGGAAGAAGCGAAAGUGACGGUACCUGCAGAAGAAGCGCCGGCUAACUACGUGCCAGCAGCCGCGGUAAUACGUAGGGCGCAAGCGUUGUCCGGAAUUAUUGGGCGUAAAGAGCUCGUAGGCGGCUUGUCACGUCGGUUGUGAAAGCCCGGGGCUUAACCCCGGGUCUGCAGUCGAUACGGGCAGGCUAGAGUGUGGUAGGGGAGAUCGGAAUUCCUGGUGUAGCGGUGAAAUGCGCAGAUAUC
This 630-nucleotide ribosomal RNA is filed under the name Actinomycetales bacterium A320. RNAcentral describes it as "bacterial SSU rRNA". It matches the Rfam family "Bacterial small subunit ribosomal RNA", at positions 50 to 698 of the family's 1533-position model. The record is from RNAcentral. Lineage: Bacteria; Bacillati; Actinomycetota; Actinomycetes; Actinomycetales.